RNAcentral lists this unclassified non-coding RNA (323 nucleotides) under soil metagenome. Its description in RNAcentral is "partial contains 5.8S ribosomal RNA, internal transcribed spacer 2, and large subunit ribosomal RNA". The stretch from base 1 to 120 matches the Rfam family "5.8S ribosomal RNA", at positions 35 to 154 of the family's 154-position model. The record is from RNAcentral.
GAUGAAGAACGUAGCGAAAUGCGAUAAGUAAUGCGAAUUGCAGAAUUCAGUGAGUCAUCGAAUCUUUGAACGCACAUUGCGCCCUGUGGUAUUCCGCAGGGCAUGCCUGUUCGAGCGUCAUUUCAACCCUCAAGCUCUGCUUGGUGUUGGGCCCUGCCCGCUGCGGCCGGCCCUAAAGACAGUGGCGGUGCCGCCUGGCCCUGAGCGUAGUACAUCUCUCGCUCCAGUGCCCGGUGGUAGCCUGCCAGAACCCCAACUCUCGUGGUUGACCUCGGAUCAGGUAGGGAUACCCGCUGAUCUUAAGCAUAUCAAUAAGCGGAGGA